GUGCCAGCCGCCGCGGUAAUACGUAGGGCGCAAGCGUUGUCCGGAAUUAUUGGGCGUAAAGAGCUUGUAGGUGGCUUGUCGCGUCUGCCGUGAAAACCCGAGGCUCAACCUCGGGCGUGCGGUGGGUACGGGCAGGCUAGAGUGUGGUAGGGGAGACUGGAACUCCUGGUGUAGCGGUGAAAUGCGCAGAUAUCAGGAAGAACACCGAUGGCGAAGGCAGGUCUCUGGGCCAUUACUGACACUGAGAAGCGAAAGCAUGGGUAGCGAACAGGAUUAGAUACCCUGGUAGUCCAUGCCGUAAACGUUGGGCACUAGGUGUGGGGGACAUUCCACGUUUUCCGCGCCGUAGCUAACGCAUUAAGUGCCCCGCCUGGGGAGUACGGCCGCAAGGCUAAA
RNAcentral lists this ribosomal RNA (396 nucleotides) under uncultured bacterium. RNAcentral's name for it is "bacterial SSU rRNA". It matches the Rfam family "Bacterial small subunit ribosomal RNA", at positions 505 to 898 of the family's 1533-position model. The record is from RNAcentral.